This 659-nucleotide ribosomal RNA is filed under the name uncultured fungus. RNAcentral describes it as "eukaryotic LSU rRNA". The stretch from base 210 to 363 matches the Rfam family "5.8S ribosomal RNA". Lineage: Eukaryota; Fungi. The record is from RNAcentral.
GCGGAAGGAUCAUUAACGAAUUGUAAAGGAGAGUUGAUGCUGGUAGCUUUCGGGCUGCAUGUGCUCGCUCUCUGACAUUUCAUUAUCCAUGCACCUGUGAACCUUUGAGGGAAUCGAGUCUUAACGGAUUUGAGGCCCUCUUUAAUUAACACAUACCCCUUUAUAAAAUAUUGAACGUGAUAGUGCCGAAAGGCCAUAAUCAAAUAUACAACUUUUAACAACGGAUCUCUUGGCUCUCGCAUCGAUGAAGAACGCAGCGAAAUGCGAUAAGUAAUGUGAAUUGCAGAAUUCAGUGAAUCAUCGAAUCUUUGAACGCACCUUGCGCUCCUUGGUAUUCCGAGGAGCACGCCUGUUCGAGUGUCUUGAAAUUCUCAAGCUGGAUAGCUUUAUUGUUAUCUCAGUUUGGAUUGGGCUCUGCCGUCUCCUCUUUUGUGAACGGCUGGCCUUAAAAGUAUUAGCUGACCCUUGUUGUGGGAUUGGUUCUACUCAGUGUGAUAAUUUAUGAUCGCUGAGGACAUCUUUCGGGAUGGCCAGUUUUGCCUAGGAUCGCUUCUACUCCUGGUAUUCGGAGUCCGCUCCUUAUCCUUAACUUUUUUCAACUUUGACCUCGAAUCAGGUGGGACUACCCGCUGAACUUAAGCAUAUCAAUAAGCGGAGGA